UACGAAGGGGGCUAGCGUUGCUCGGAAUCACUGGGCGUAAAGCGCACGUAGGCGGCGUCUUAAGUCAGGGGUGAAAUCCUGGAGCUCAACUCCAGAACUGCCUUUGAUACUGAGAUGCUUGAGUCCGGGAGAGGUGAGUGGAACUGCGAGUGUAGAGGUGAAAUGCGUAGGUAUCGGGAGGAACACCAGUGGCGAAGGCGACUACCUGGCCUGUUUCUUGACGCUGAGGCGCGAAAGCUAGGGGAGCAAACGGG
Molecule: ribosomal RNA, 254 nt
Filed under: uncultured bacterium
Lineage: Bacteria
Description: partial 16S ribosomal RNA
Rfam family: Bacterial small subunit ribosomal RNA
Source: RNAcentral